Long non-coding RNA from Oreochromis aureus, 2617 nucleotides. The record is from Ensembl. Lineage: Eukaryota; Metazoa; Chordata; Actinopteri; Cichliformes; Cichlidae.
CUGAGAACAACUCCAAAACCGAAACCAGUGAUUCACAAAUGUGUCAGACACACAUUUUACUAACAGUUUAAAAUAUGAAGCGUUUAAACGACAGCCUGCAAACAUCUGGGAAAAGCAGACUUCUGGGAGAGGCGAGGAACGUUCCAGCUGCUUCACAUGUAUUUUCCAUUUCAUGAUGUUCCAAAUGCUUCGAGUUGGGGGACGUUUCACUCCUCGUAGAUGUCUUACUCUACGGAGGCAUGAAGUGCUGACAACUUGACCAGCAGCCGACGCUUAAAAUGUCUUCGCAUGUUUUCUAGUUUUAAUUUUUUAAUCUCCCAGAAAGCUCCAACCUGCCGCGGCCUCUUCUCUGAGUGACACAAGCAGAUCCUCUACGUCCAAGAAAUUAGAGCUCUUGUUCCUGGCUGUUCCACAGCACAUUAUCAGGGUUUAGAUGAAGAAACACUGCACUCAAGAUCGCUGGGAGCAAAAGAAACAGCUGGAGAAAAGAGGUGGGAACUUGAAAGUAAAAUGCAAAUAAUCCAGAGGAGGAGGAAGAAUGGGAGGAGUGAGAAAGUGAAAACUGGAGGGUGAAGCAGGAUAAAGUGAUAGAAGAGAGGGAGUCCAUCCUUUCGCUCCGAUCUCUCCAGCCACGUGUAGACCAGCAGCUCCGGGUGACGCACCUUUUUCCCCUGAAGUGAACCAUCACCUGCCAAAACUCCAAACUCGUCCUUCUGGUUGUUCAUUCCUCUUUUCCUUGGAUAGCCAGGAGCCUUCCCCAGCAGCGAGGUUGGAAGUUUGACAAAACUUUCCUGAAAACUGGCCAAAGAAAGGAUUUUCUUCAUUCUACAACUGCUGUUGAGCUUUCAGCUGGAGUCCAGCAGAGGACAGACGCUGAAGACACUUUAAGCCAUCAGCGUCGUGUCGGAGGGUCGGGGAGUUGAAGCCUCCGGAGGGGUCUGCUUUCUCACAGCUGUGAUCGAUUUGUUGAAGAUGUUGUAGUGAGUUGUGGGGCAGCAGACAGCAGAGGAUAAUGUGACACAGAUGAUGGUUUUGCCGCCUGUGCCAUGCAGAGGGAGAGGCCAGCUCUCGUGAGUGUGUUUGUGUUUCUGUGUUCUGUCAACAUCAUGGCCAUCACCCAAAAACCAUGCAGCAGGGACCUUAUUAACAACGUCCUGACCCUGAAGGAGAAAGUCUCCAUCAUCUCCAACAAGUUGUCGCUGAACUGCAGCCUGUACACACCCACCAUUGAAGACUACGAGCAGACAGCGUCAAAGUGUCGUCGGUGUGAGGUCAUGAAGGAGAAAAAUGCAACCACCUUUCUUGAAAAUCUGCUAUGGACUGUUGAGAAAUCUAACAGUGACUACUGUUAGGACUUUCAGAAGAGACUGCAUGGCCUGACUUUCUUUUCAUUAACUUUCUAUUAAACCACCUGCACACAAAUAAAGUGCAGAAUGUAUGAUGUCGGAGCAGCUCAGUGGCAUUUGAGUUACAGUUAGAGGCUAACGCGGGGUUCUGGGUGGAAAAAGCUUGCUUGUAGUUUCAUAUCAACUCAUCAGCUAACAUAAAUGUCUCACUGAUGAAGUCAUAAAGAAGACACAGUCAGAUCCCAGCUAAGCUGCAGUCAGAUGCUGAGAGCACGUUGGUCACUUUAAUGUGUUUUAAGGAAAUAUGUGUGUAUUUUCGUCUGCUAUUAAUGAGUAUUAUUAUAUUAAUAAGGUUGCUAUCAAGCAGUUGGACAGUGGGUGAAAAGGGGGCAUUGGGUCAGUGUGUUUAUUGGCCUUGGUAAACUGAUGGAAGUACACCGAGGAUGGCAGGAGGAAAACAGACCUGUCUACGCAUUUCACAACCACAGACACCAUCACAGAAAUGUGCGACAGUUUCUGAGCACGUGGGACUUCCUGAGGAUCGCACAACUGGCUUAGUCGAAAGCCACUGCCAGAUUAUUCAUGCAUCAGACAUUACAAUGCAAUGGACAUCUGCAAGGACAUCACUGCUUACCGCCUACUGUGGCCAAAAUAUGCUCCUACACAGCUCUGAUGUAAACCUCAGAAACAUAUAAAGUUAUUUCUACUCUUCUAAUAAGCUCAUUCUCUCCCUACUUUGAUCUGAUGCUCCUGUAUUUAGUUCAGUACAAUAAACUUCAUUUUAAAGUAAGCUGAUGCACGCGUUUCACUCUUAUUUCUUGCACCUUCAGAAUAAAAUUAUCCCGUUCUGUCUUUUUGUACAGCUUGGCUAGAUUAAGGAUCAUGUAAAGUUAGAUGAUAAAAAUUAAUUAUUUCAAGGUAAGUGAGCUUUAAAUGACAACAGCUUCAUAUUUUUAGACCUUGGAGUGUACUAGUGUAGCUUUAAUAAUCCAUAUCUACCCUCAUAAAGCCCUUCAGUUCAUCCUCAUUCAACAUUGAGUCUAACAGCCCACUUUCUCCUAAUCUGAGAACUUUUGGGAGCCUGCUGUGAGCUAGUCUCUCAUUGUACAUGAGUUUAGCCGCUUUAGUAUGAACAGCUGGAAACCAUCUACCCCCUGAGACGGACAGACCGUCGGGUUCUCUCCUUCAGAGUCUUGGCAAGACCAGAUCUUAACAAACUAAACAGACACACAGACUGUGCAGAUCACAUGAUGGGCAAAUACACUGUUUAG